GAAAAAGUGGUGGCGGCCCUCUUCUCUCGCUAAACUCAUUAAUUAGCUUCACAAAAAUGGAGCCUUUUUCAUUUGUUUUGUUUUGUUUUGCUCGUGUUUUUUCUCAACUCUUGAAGAUAAUUUUUGUUGUUCAAACAUGCACCCAUUGAAGGAUGAUACCCAACUAUCUGUAUGCCUGAGAACCCAUGUACGCCAUAAAUUCAAUGUGUGUUUGACUUUGAUUUGUUAGGAUUAAGUGAAGAAUGGAAGUAAAAGGUUUCUAUUGAAUCAAAUGGGUACUCCUGGAAAAUUGAAGUCAGGCAAAUUGCUCAAAAUUAGGGAAAGUCUCUUCAAUUAAAUUCACAUAUAGAUAAUCCCUUUUCUUUAUUGUUACAUAUGUUUAAAGUUGUGUUCAAGAAAUCCAUGGUAUGGAAAGCUAUGUCAGGAAAUUGCUAUUGUAGGACAUUCUUCUAACCCCAUCAUGUUUUUGAUAUUAUAGGUCCAAAUCCAGCACUGCAGA
This 499-nucleotide unclassified non-coding RNA is filed under the name Hevea brasiliensis (rubber tree). Lineage: Eukaryota; Viridiplantae; Streptophyta; Magnoliopsida; Malpighiales; Euphorbiaceae. The record is from RNAcentral.